AUGAUUUACAUUUGAGUGAGUGGCGAACUGGUGAGUAACACGUGGGAAACCUGCCCAGAAGCGGGGGAUAACACCUGGAAACAGAUGCUAAUACCGCAUAACAACUUGGACCGCAGGGUCCGAGUUUGAAAGAUGGCUUCGGCUAUCACUUUUGGAUGGUCCCGCGGCGUAUUAGCUAGAUGGUGAGGUAACGGCUCACCAUGGCAAUGAUACGUAGCCGACCUGAGAGGGUAAUCGGCCACAUUGGGACUGAGACACGGCCCAAACUCCUACGGGAGGCAGCAGUAGGGAAUCUUCCACAAUGGACGAAAGUCUGAUGGAGCAACGCCGCGUGAGUGAAGAAGGGUUUCGGCUCGUAAAACUCUGUUGUUAAAGAAGAACAUAUCUGAGAGUAACUGUUCAGGUAUUGACGGUAUUUAACCAGAAAGCCACGGCUAACUACGUGCCAGCAGCCGCGGUAAUACGUAGGUGGCAAGCGUUGUCCGGAUUUAUUGGGCGUAAAGCGAGCGCAGGCGGUUUUUUAGUCUGAUGUGAAAGCCUUCGGCUC
Molecule: ribosomal RNA, 547 nt
Filed under: Lactiplantibacillus plantarum
Lineage: Bacteria; Bacillati; Bacillota; Bacilli; Lactobacillales; Lactobacillaceae
Description: bacterial SSU rRNA
Rfam family: Bacterial small subunit ribosomal RNA
Source: RNAcentral